CCGGCACGCUGCACCAGUUCCACCAGCUGGACGCCAUCGCCGACCAUUCGGGUUCCCCCGGCCGGGUGUUCGUGGGCUCCGGGUCGCCGGGUUGUCCCGGAGGUGACGGCGGCGACCCCUCGUCGCUCAGCAUCAUCGUGGACCCCUCUCACCUCAGCGCCUCGUGCCCCGCCAUCGACCACCUACAGCUGCCGGCCACUGUCCCCUCCGCUCCCCCGCUCGCGGACCACCACGUGGUCGUCGAUCUAUUCCAGACACGGGCGCGAGUCCCCGCGCUGCUCUCCGCGGCCGUGGUGGCGUCGCGCUCCGUGCCGUCCCUGUUCCCGCCCCCCGGCCUGCCCUGCGGCGGGCGCGGGGCCAUCGCCGCCUCCAGGGGCGGUUUCUUCUCGGCGCUGUCCCCUGGGUCUCUCCUGGGCACGGCCAGCUCCGCGCCGACGUCGCCGGGCACCUCACCGGGGGCGUCGCCGGGAACGUCCCCGGGGGCGGAGCACCGCGGCUGCCACCACCGCACCGCCGCGCUGGACCCGGCGCGGCAGCCGCUCCUGGGACAGCACCUUGCCGCCUGGAGGCUGGCCGAGGAGCCCGAGACGGCGGUGUAACGAGCAGACACCUGUCAUGACCUCCCCCCCCCCCC
Frankliniella occidentalis (western flower thrips) is the source of this 634-nucleotide long non-coding RNA. RefSeq lists it as uncharacterized. The transcript has 3 exons. NCBI's taxonomy places the organism in Eukaryota, Metazoa, Arthropoda, Insecta, Thysanoptera, Thripidae. The record is from RefSeq and is a predicted model, not a curated record.